CAGCACGAUGCCUCCCGGGCUUCUCUGAUAUAUCUAAUGACUCGAAAGCCCUAAGCACGUGCUAGAUCUUCGCCGUUCGUGUUGCAAUUCAGCCUAGUUUUCACGGCUAAUCUGUGUCAAAGUAAUGGCUAAAUCU
Molecule: small nucleolar RNA, 136 nt
Organism: Medicago truncatula (barrel medic)
Lineage: Eukaryota; Viridiplantae; Streptophyta; Magnoliopsida; Fabales; Fabaceae
Rfam family: small nucleolar RNA snoR134
Source: Rfam